CCGCGGGAUUAGAGUUUGAUCCUGGCUCAGAACGAACGCUGGCGGCGUGGAUAAGACAUGCAAGUCGAACGCUGACAUUUGGGUAGCAAUAUUCGGAUGUCGGAGUGGCGCAAGGGUGCGUAACACGUGGGCAAUCUGCCGUGAAGCCUGGGAUAACUCGCUGAAAGGCGAGCUAAUACCGGAUGUGAAUUUUGGAUGGCAUCAUUUGAAAUUCAAAGUUGGGGACCGCAAGGCCUGACACUUUACGAUGAGCCCGCGGCCUAUCAGCUAGUUGGUGAGGUAACGGCUCACCAAGGCUAAGACGGGUAGCUGGUCUGAGAGGACGACCAGUCACACUGGAACUGAGACACGGUCCAGACACCUACGGGUGGCAGCAGUCGAGAAUUUUUCUCAAUGGGCGAAAGCCUGAAGGAGCGACGCCGCGUGGGGGAUGAAUGGCUUCGGCCCGUAAACCCCUGUCAUUUGCGAACAGAUUAAUUCACUUAACACGUGGAUUAUUGAUUGUAGUAGAAGAGGAAGGGACGGCUAACUCUGUGCCAGCAGCCGCGGUAAUACAGAGGUCCCAAGCGUUGUUCGGAUUCACUGGGCGUAAAGGGUGCGUAGGCGGUUGGGUAAGUCUGGUGUGAAAGCUCGGAGCUUAACUCCGAAAUGGCAUCGGAUACUAUCUGGCUAGAGGAAUGGAGGGGAGACUGGAAUACUUGGUGUAGCAGUGAAAUGCGUAGAUAUCAAGUGGAACACCAGUGGCGAAGGCGAGUCUCUGGACAUUUCCUGACGCUGAGGCACGAAAGCCAGGGGAGCAAACGGGAUUAGAUACCCCGGUAGUCCUGGCCCUAAACGGUGCACGUUUGCUGUAAGCGGAAU
RNAcentral lists this ribosomal RNA (861 nucleotides) under uncultured bacterium. RNAcentral describes it as "bacterial SSU rRNA". It matches the Rfam family "Bacterial small subunit ribosomal RNA", at positions 1 to 832 of the family's 1533-position model. The record is from RNAcentral.